This 447-nucleotide ribosomal RNA is filed under the name uncultured bacterium. RNAcentral's name for it is "bacterial SSU rRNA". It matches the Rfam family "Bacterial small subunit ribosomal RNA", at positions 355 to 825 of the family's 1533-position model. The record is from RNAcentral.
UGGGGAAUAUUGCGCAAUGGGCGAAAGCCUGACGCAGCAACGCCGCGUGAAGGAUGAAGUAUUUUGGUAUGUAAACUUCGAAAGAAUAGGAAGAAUAAAUGACGGUACUAUUUAUAAGGUCCGGCUAACUACGUGCCAGCAGCCGCGGUAAUACGUAGGGACCAAGCGUUGUUCGGAUUUACUGGGCGUAAAGGGCGCGUAGGCGGCAAUUCAAGUCAUCUGUGAAAUCUCCGGGCUUAACUCGGAACGGUCAGAUGAUACUGCUUUGCUAGAGUGCAGAAGGGGCAAUCGGAAUUCUUGGUGUAGCGGUGAAAUGCGUAGAUAUCAAGAGGAACACCUGAGGUGAAGACGGGUUGCUGGGCUGACACUGACGCUGAGGCGCGAAAGCCAGGGGAGCAAACGGGAUUAGAUACCCGCGUAGUCCCUGAGCGGGCUGGCAAGGCGCAU